This 433-nucleotide ribosomal RNA is filed under the name uncultured bacterium. RNAcentral describes it as "partial 16S ribosomal RNA". It matches the Rfam family "Bacterial small subunit ribosomal RNA", at positions 29 to 507 of the family's 1533-position model. The record is from RNAcentral.
AGCGAACGCUGGCGGCAGGCUUAACACAUGCAAGUCGAGCGGACCUUUCGGGGUCAGCGGCGGACGGGUGAGUAACGCGUGGGAACGUGCCUUCCGGUUCGGAAUAACCCUGGGAAACUAGAGCUAAUACCGGAUACGCCCUUAUGGGGAAAGGUUUACUGCCGGAAGAUCGGCCCGCGUCUGAUUAGCUAGUUGGUGGGGUAACGGCCUACCAAGGCGACGAUCAGUAGCUGGUCUGAGAGGAUGAUCAGCCACACUGGGACUGAGACACGGCCCAGACUCCUACGGGAGGCAGCAGUGGGGAAUAUUGGACAAUGGGCGCAAGCCUGAUCCAGCCAUGCCGCGUGAGUGAUGAAGGCCUUAGGGUUGUAAAGCUCUUUUAUCCGGGACGAUAAUGACGGUACCGGAGGAAUAAGCCCCGGCUAACUUCGUG